GGUCUGUUAGUUCAUCGGUGAGAAUGUUGCCUUGUCACGGCAGAGAGAGGAGUUCGAUUCUCCUACAGACCGCCA
RNAcentral lists this transfer RNA (75 nucleotides) under Paracoccaceae bacterium. RNAcentral's name for it is "Rhodobacteraceae bacterium tRNA-Asp". It matches the Rfam family "tRNA". Rfam says of the family: Transfer RNA (tRNA) molecules are approximately 80 nucleotides in length. The record is from RNAcentral. Lineage: Bacteria; Pseudomonadati; Pseudomonadota; Alphaproteobacteria; Rhodobacterales; Paracoccaceae.